RNAcentral lists this small RNA (158 nucleotides) under human gut metagenome. RNAcentral describes it as "Clostridiales-1 RNA". It matches the Rfam family "Clostridiales-1 RNA". The record is from RNAcentral.
GAUGCCAGGGGACCAAACUCAAGAGCCGUUCCUGCUUGCAGGAGAAGGCUCUUGAACUUGGGAUCCGCCCAAACAUGAGGAAGUAGCGAUUUACGAAGUGAAUCAGCGGAUUCCGAAUGGUUGGAGAAUUGCGAGAGCGAAGCGGAGCAAUUCGUAUU